Molecule: ribosomal RNA, 468 nt
Filed under: uncultured bacterium
Lineage: Bacteria
Description: partial 16S ribosomal RNA
Rfam family: Bacterial small subunit ribosomal RNA
Source: RNAcentral
GACGAACGCUGGCGGCGUGCUUAACACAUGCAAGUCGAACGGAAAGGCCCGGCGUUUGUGGGUUGCUCGAGUGGCGAACGGGGGAGUAACACGUGAGUAACCUGCCCUUGACUGUGGGAUAACUUCAGGAAACUGGGGCUAAUACCGGAUAGGAUCUCCUGCUGCAUGGGGGGGGUUGGAAAGUGUCGGCGGUUGGGGAUGGACUCGCGGCUUAUCAGCUUGUUGGUGGGGUAGUUGCUUACCAAGGCUUUGACGGGUAGCCGGCCUGAGAGGGUGAACGGCCACAUUGGGACUGCGAUACGGAGCAGACUCCUACGGGAGGCAGCAGUGGGGAAUAUUGCACAAUGGGCCGACGCCUGAUGCAGCAACGCCGCGUGCGGGAUGCCGGCUUUCGGGUGGUAAACCGAUUUCGCCUGUGACGAAGCGUGAGUGACGGUAAUGGGUAAAGAAGCACCGGCUAACUACGUG